RNAcentral lists this ribosomal RNA (163 nucleotides) under Rhododendron retusum. RNAcentral's name for it is "5.8S ribosomal RNA". It matches the Rfam family "5.8S ribosomal RNA". From Rfam's summary of the family: 5.8S ribosomal RNA (5.8S rRNA) is a component of the large subunit of the eukaryotic ribosome. Lineage: Eukaryota; Viridiplantae; Streptophyta; Magnoliopsida; Ericales; Ericaceae. The record is from RNAcentral.
AAACGACUCUCGGCAACGGAUAUCUCGGCUCUUGCAUCGAUGAAGAACGUAGCGAAAUGCGAUACUUGGUGUGAAUUGCAGAAUCCCGUGAACCAUCGAGUCUUUGAACGCAAGUUGCGCCUGAUGCCAUUAGGUUGAAGGCACGUCUGCCUGGGCGUCACGC